Molecule: ribosomal RNA, 573 nt
Filed under: Strongyloides planiceps
Lineage: Eukaryota; Metazoa; Nematoda; Chromadorea; Rhabditida; Strongyloididae
Description: partial 28S ribosomal RNA
Rfam family: Eukaryotic large subunit ribosomal RNA
Source: RNAcentral
GAAAUCUAUGCUACAUUAGUGGCAUCGAAAUGUCGUGUAUAGGUUUUACUAUUCUUAAUAGUUAUUUAUUAAAUAAUUGUAUUUAAAUAUACAGCCACAGAAGGUGCCAGCCCUGUUGUUUAAUAAAUACUGUUAAAUUUGUAAAACUUUAGAGUCGUGUUGCUUGGAAGUGCAGCGCAAAGUUGGUGAUAAACAUCAUCUAAGGCUAAAUACUCCUAUGAAUCCGAUAGCGAACAAGUACUGUGAAGGAAAAUUGCAAAGUACUCCGGAGAGAGAGUUAAAGAGGACGUGAAACCGAUACGAUGGAAGCAUACAGAGCCAGUUGCACUAUUAUUAAUAGCAAUAUUAAUAAUUUUAAGCAUGGGUCUAUUGACUGAUGAUUAGUUAUCUAAAAAAGAGUGGUAAAAAUAUAAUUUUUGCUAACUUUUCUAGUAUAAUUAUAUUUUUAGUUAAUAGUUAUAAUGUUAAUGGUUCUAAUAGUUAUAUUAAUGUUAAUGUUUUAUUUAAGCACAUGUGUUUAAGUUUAACAUAUUAAUAUUUAUAUGAUUAUUGUAAGUUAACUAACCUAUGUAA